UACGGAGGGUGCGAGCGUUGUCCGGAAUCACCGGGCGUAAAGGGCGCGUAGGCGGCGCGAGCAGUCGGCGGUGAAAGCCCGGAGCUCAACUCCGGGUCGGCCGUCGAUACUCUCGUGCUUGAGCACUGUAGAGGCAGGUGGAAUUCCGGGUGUAGCGGUGGAAUGCGUAGAGAUCCGGAAGAACACCGGUGGCGAAGGCGGCCUGCUGGGCAGUAGCUGACGCUGAUGCGCGACAGCGUGGGGAGCAAACAGG
Molecule: ribosomal RNA, 253 nt
Filed under: uncultured bacterium
Lineage: Bacteria
Description: partial 16S ribosomal RNA
Rfam family: Bacterial small subunit ribosomal RNA
Source: RNAcentral